GACGAACGCUGGCGGCGUGCUUAACACAUGCAAGUCGAACGGAAAGGCCCUGCUUUUGUGGGGCGCUCGAGUGGCGAACGGGUGAGUAACACGUGAGUAACCUGCCCCUGACUUUGGGAUAACUUCAGGAAACUGCGGCUAAUACCGGAUAGGAGCUCCUGCUGCAUGGUGGGGGUUGGAAAGUUUCGGCGGUUGGGGAUGGUCUCGCGGCUUAUCAGCUUGUUGGUCGGGUAGUGGCUUACCAAGGCUAUGACGGGUAGCCGGCCUGAGAGGGUGACCGGCCGCGUUGCGACUAAGAUAGGGACCAGAAUCCUACGGGAGGCAGCGGGGGGGAACCUGACGAAGCGGGCGGACGUCAGUUGCGGUAACGCCGCGUGCGGGAAGAUGGCCUAUGGGUUAAAAACCGCUUUGGCCUGUAACGUAGCGGGAGUGACGGUAAUGGGUCAGGAAGCAACGGCUAACUACGUG
RNAcentral lists this ribosomal RNA (468 nucleotides) under uncultured bacterium. Its description in RNAcentral is "partial 16S ribosomal RNA". It matches the Rfam family "Bacterial small subunit ribosomal RNA", at positions 28 to 507 of the family's 1533-position model. The record is from RNAcentral.